GCCAUCUGUCAGCACAAUGCCAAGCAAACCUGCGCCCAUCAAGAAGUCCCCAGUCAAGCAGGCGGCCAAGAAGGCUCCUGCGCCUGCGCUCGUCCCGGAGCCUGAACCGGCCCCCGUAGAGGCUGCACCUGCGGAUGCUGCACCUGUGGAAGCUGCUGCGAUUGAGGAGACAGCUCCCGCACCCGAGGGAGAAGCAGCCCCAGCAGAGGACACCCCCACUGCCGAAGGAGGCACCCCAGCGGAAGCUGCUGUCGUUGAAGAGCCACCAAAGGCCUCCACGCCUCCACCUCCUGCAGUCCCCACCAGCGCUCCUCUGGACGUAUCUGUGGAGGAUGUGACCGAUUCCAGCCUCACCAUUAAAUGGAGCUCGCCGGAGACCAUCGGAGCCUCCGGCCUGGACGGAUACACCAUCGAGUACUGCAAGGAUGGAACCACAGACUGGGUUGUGGCUCAAGAGGAGCUGACCCCAACUAAUCUCUUCUGCAUGAAGAAUCUCACAGCCUAUGACCUGCUGCAUGUGCGCGUGGUGGCUGUAAACCGGGGCGGCCGCAGUGAACCUGGAACACUUGCUGAGCCUGUGCCCAUCCGGGAAAUUGGUGAGCGUCCCAGGAUCCGCAUUCCCCGCAUUCUGAAAUCCUGCUAUGUCAAGCAGGUUGGAGAGCAGAUCAAUCUGGUCAUCCCCUUUCUUGGAAAGCCCAAACCUGUGGUGUCCUGGCUGAAGGACGGGCAGCCUGUGGAUCCAAGGGUCAACAUCAGGAACAGUGACAAGGACAGCAUCAUAUUUAUCCGCCAAGCUCAGAGGGAGGACUCUGGUGUUUAUGAGAUUACCGUCAAAGUGGACAGCUUUGAGGACCAAUCCACCAUCACCCUUCAAAUUGUGGACCGGCCUGGCAGUCCUGCCAAUGUGAAGCUGGUGGACACCUGGGGCUUCAACGCUGCUCUUGAAUGGACACCUCCCAAGGAUAACGGCAACACAGAGAUCACUGGAUACACCAUCCAGAAGGCCGACAGGAAAACCGGGGAAUGGUUCUCGGUGCUGGAGCACUACCACAGGCUAACUACCACCGUCACAGAUCUCAUCAUGGGCAACGCAUACUCCUUCAGAGUGUUCGCUGAGAACCAAGUGGGCAUCAGUGAGAUGAGCACUGUCACCAAGGGGGUGGCCACCAUCCAGAAGACAGGUAUCGUCUACACGCCUCCCGAGUACCCGGAGCGUGACUACAGCGAGGCACCCAGGUUCACAACACCCCUCAUUAACCGCGCUGCCACUGUGGGAUACACCACCAAGCUGCUGUGCUCUGUCCGUGGAAGCCCCAAGCCUAAGAUCGAGUGGUUGAAGAAUCAGGUGAUCAUUGGAAACGAUCCCAAGUUUCGUCAGAACUCGACCCAGGGCAUUUGCUCCCUCGAGAUCCGUAAGCCCUGCUGCUUCGAUGGCGGUGUGUACACCUGCAGAGCCAAGAACGAGCAGGGGGAGGCCGUGGUCUCCUGCAAGUUGGAGGUCAAACGUACCAUAUUCACACAAGAGUUGGAUGAGAAGAUCGAUACCACUUUCAUGUGUGCUAAAUAUGAAUCUAAAACCAGCAGCUGGUUAGCUAUGCAUAAAGACUGA
This 1609-nucleotide long non-coding RNA is filed under the name Cyclopterus lumpus (lumpfish). RNAcentral's name for it is "lncRNA (ENSCLMG00005013625.1)". The record is from RNAcentral. Lineage: Eukaryota; Metazoa; Chordata; Actinopteri; Perciformes; Cyclopteridae.